This 131-nucleotide non-coding RNA is filed under the name Bacillus safensis. RNAcentral describes it as "FMN riboswitch aptamer (RFN element)". It matches the Rfam family "FMN riboswitch aptamer (RFN element)". Rfam says of the family: The RFN element is a highly conserved domain that is found frequently in the 5'-untranslated regions of prokaryotic mRNAs that encode for flavin mononucleotide (FMN) biosynthesis and transport proteins. Lineage: Bacteria; Bacillati; Bacillota; Bacilli; Caryophanales; Bacillaceae. The record is from Rfam by way of RNAcentral.
AUCAAUCUUCGGGGCAGGGUGCAAUUCCCUACCGGCGGUGAUGAGCAUAGUCUCUAAGCCCGCGAGCCUUUUUGGCAGGAUUCGGUGUGAUUCCGAAGCCGACAGUAUAGUCUGGAUGGGAGAAGAUGGAG